RNAcentral lists this ribosomal RNA (253 nucleotides) under uncultured bacterium. Its description in RNAcentral is "partial 16S ribosomal RNA". It matches the Rfam family "Bacterial small subunit ribosomal RNA", at positions 524 to 776 of the family's 1533-position model. The record is from RNAcentral.
UACAGAGGUGGCAAGCGUUGUUCGGAAUUACUGGGCGUAAAGGGCGCGUAGGCGGCCUUCUAAGUCAGACGUGAAAUCCCAAAGCUUAACUUUGGAACUGCGUCGGAUACUGGAUGGCUUGAAUUCGGGAGAGGGAUGCAGAAUUCCAGGUGUAGCGGUGAAAUGCGUAGAUAUCUGGAGGAAUACCGGUGGCGAAGGCGGCAUCCUGGACCGACAUUGACGCUGAGGAGCGAAAGCUAGGGGAGCAAACGGG